UACAGAGGGUGCAAGCGUUAAUCGGAAUUACUGGGCGUAAAGCGUGCGUAGACGGUUAUUUAAGUCAGGUGUGAAAGCCCCGGGCUCAACCUGGGAAUUGCAUUUGAGACUGAAUAGCUAGGUUGCGGAAGAGGGAAGCGGAAUUUCCGGUGUAGCGGUGAAAUGCGUAGAUAUCGGAAGGAACACCAGUGGCGAAGGCGGCAUCCUGGACCAAUAUUGACGCUGAGGAGCGAAAGCCAGGGGAGCAAACGGG
This 253-nucleotide ribosomal RNA is filed under the name uncultured bacterium. RNAcentral's name for it is "partial 16S ribosomal RNA". It matches the Rfam family "Bacterial small subunit ribosomal RNA", at positions 524 to 776 of the family's 1533-position model. The record is from RNAcentral.